RNAcentral lists this long non-coding RNA (2552 nucleotides) under Nicotiana benthamiana. RNAcentral's name for it is "long non-coding RNA (NBEN_LNC020150)". Lineage: Eukaryota; Viridiplantae; Streptophyta; Magnoliopsida; Solanales; Solanaceae. The record is from RNAcentral.
AAUUUCUUAAUCAGUGGCUAGGAGCUAGGGUGAGCUUAAUAUAAAUAUGUCCAAACUCCCCCGCCCCUCCCCAACCCCCUCUCCAUCGUCUCUCAGAGACCUUUUACCCUAACCCUAAUCAAGCCGCCGCAUCUAAAUCCCACCACUGUCCAAUGGCGGAGCCACCCCAUCUCACCUCCAAAUUAACACCAAACAAUGCUCUCACCUCUUUUUUACUAAACACCAAAGGAACACCUCUCAAAUCUCUCUCAACUUGUUUGAAUUUAAGAUCCAAAUUGGGAGACCUGGUCUGUCCAAGAUUGUUUCGUCAGAAUUUUCUUUUUUACUGGAAAUCAAAGCGACUCAAGACUCGUUUCAAAAAAGAGUUCCCAUCCAGAACGUUUGAUUGACACGAGUUCUAGUUCAUUUUGAAGGCCAGCCUCCGAGUAAUCAAUGUUUCUUCCUUUCUUUGAUUGAGUUGGAGCCCAAUCAUUAUGUUUUCUGGUUAGUUUUCAUGGCCUUGUUCUCUUUCAAUUAUGGUUUUUUGUGUGAAUUUGUUUGUAUUGUUUUGUUUUGUUUUAAUUUUUUUUGGGAAAGUUAGGUCUAGUCAGAGUCUAGAUUCAAUCUUAUUGUCCUGCUUUGGUUUCAACCUUUAUCUUCAUGAUGGGAAUUUUAGGGUUUAUGUGAUUUAAUUAAGGUUAAAUUAUAGUCUUCUUUCUAUGAUUCGUCUCAUAGAGUCAGUCUGAAUGAUUUUUAAUUUGAGGUAUGUUAUAAAAGUUCAAUUCUUGCACUGAAAUCUCAUUCUGAUCCGUUUGUUAAAAUUGGUGUGUUAUUCCGUUUGUUUGUCACAUAUUCUAAUAGUAAGUAGUCGUGGGGGACAUUCGAGCAACUAGAAACGUAAGGGGGCUUAGGGGUCAGGAAGGAAGUGUAAUAAGUAAUUGGGUAAGGGUUAGUUUGGAGAUUCUAGGUUGGGGAAAGAAUCAUUUCUUUUAGCAGGGAGCUUCUAGAGGCGAGGAUAAGGAUAAGUCUGUUAAGGGGAGUGAUUUUGAGAUGCUUGAAAGGGGUAAAAAGGGUAAAAUAACAAAAAUAGGGGUAAAAGGGGAAUUGAUUAGUUGAACUAGGGCUGCCUUAGGCAGACCUAUAUAAAGAUCUUCUACCUUUCAUUUGAGGGCUGCUUUCACACAUUCUGAAAAUCUGAGUUAGAGAGCUGAAAAUCCGAAAAAAGGCCACAUAAUUUACUGUUUUAUAAAGAGAAAAAAGCUAAAAAAAAUCUAAGAGAAUAGAGACGGCUAUAGUAGGGCUGUUCCAUUGAUUUUGGUUGUGAAACUUCAACUUGCUAAGGAAUUAUGUGUUUCAUUAAGUGUGUAAAUGGCUUGAAUCUGGUUCUUGUUGGAAGAAUUGGUAGAUUCAGUUUUAAGCUACUGUUCCAUUGAUUGUUGAGUCGAUUUAACUUAAAGUUGGCUGAAUACGGGUUUCUCCGCUGCUGUUGCUUAUUGAACCUCAUUUCCUUUUUGUUACCUCUUUUCCAGGUAUUUUCUCAGUGUUGAACGGCAAGAGUUUUCUGAAACAUGUAGAUUGACAAUUGAUUUGAAUACAGGCUAUUUUGGGAUGAUUUACCUUUUUUAUUCCCCUGUUUAUUCAAUUAUCCUCUAAUAAGAGAUGCAGUCUUUCAUGUCAUUUGAGUUGUUUACCUAUAUUUAAGGUUUUGUAUGUCUAAUAGCCAUAAGCAAGAGUAUAUGAGUAUAUGUGUUGGUAAUGAAUUAUAUUACUUGAAAUGUUCUGCUUUGAUAUUAGCCUUUUGGCCUAAUCUUGACCCCCUUCAGAUUUCUGGUUCUGUUGAGAAUGUCAUUUGUUUGGUUAAGCUUCAUGUUUAGUAGGUAAGGUGAUGUAUAAUAGAAUCGAGAUUGUUCUAAGAUUUAAUGGCUAGUUCGGUGCACCUGUGUGCUUAAAGAAUCUGAAUUGUAAUUGAUUUUCUGCUAAAGUUAGUUGUUGAAUCAUGUUUGAGUCUAAUAACAUGUUACUAGUGUUACUAGUUCCUCUCGUGUAAGUACUGGAAUCCUAGAGUCGUUUAAGAGUAGUUUCACAUAAUUAAAUUCAUCAUGUCUAGCUUGGUCUGCUUCUUUGAUAGGUCAGUAAUUAUAAGGUUUUUUGCUUGAAAAUGAUGGAUAAUUCGUGCAUCGUCAUAGUUGAAGUCAUAUUUCAUAAUAGAACAGAUGCAUUGGUUCCAGAGUGGUUCUGUAUUUUCUGACUCAAAGGAUAUUGGCAUUUAUGUAACUCCAACGCGAUUGUCUUCCGUUUAGUCCGGCUUUUGUCAUGAGGAUUCGAAAUGAGACUUUUAUGAAGUCUGACUUCGGUAUACCUCGCGAAAGCUGAUUGUUCUUGGACUAGGAUGUAUGCUUGUUAUGAGGCCCAAGGUUUCGCACCUCGCUAACCCUUCUAGGCCCAUGGACUUUGUGCUAAGCUCAGUCCCUUCUUUUGACGUUAAGAGUUAGGUCUUAAUAGUAUCACCGCUAGUCUAUUCAAAAUACAACAAUAGUACAGAAGAUAGUAGAUACACCCAGCUCUAUUUCUCU